AUGUCUUCAACAUCUGGAAAACUCCAAUGCACACAUGUGAGAAAUAUGGACUUUGGAGCUGGGCAGCCCUUUUGUGACCAUGAGGCAACAUUGAAGAUGCAAGCCACAUGCUAAGACAGAAGAAAAUAAAGACAGAACUAAGCUGGGGCAUGUAUGACAUUUCAAGCUCUCAGAUCAGCCCUUGAUGGCCACCAUCCAUAUUUAUUGACAUGAAAAGAAGUCCUCAUUUUGUCAAAGCCAAUGAUAUUCAGGACUGUUAUUAAUAACAAAAUACAAUUCUUCCCUCUACCCACUACAGUGUAUCAUGAAACUCUUCAAACAUAUAGGAAAGUUGAGUAUGGAAUCUCUAUCUCCAGCCUUGAGGUCUCACCUGGACUCUUGGUUAUUCAAUGGACUACUCUGCAUCUCCAUGUGCAUCUCUAAUAUAGACUCCUCAACCUUAAUGUAUCCACAACUGAACCUUUGGUUCUGUACCACUCCCGUCUUGCUCCUUGUCUCUCCGUUUCCCCAUCUCAGAAAUUAACAACUUCAUCUUUCCAGUUACUUUUCCUUCCUUCCUUCCUUCCUUCCUUUCCUUCCUUCCUUCUCUCUCUUUUCUUUUUUGAGAGUCUCACUCUGCCACUCAGGCUAGAGUGCAGUGGUGCACUGCAACCUCCACCUUCUGGGUUUUAGUACAGACAGGGUUUUACCAUGUUGGCCAGGCUGUUCACGAACUCCUCACCUUAAGUGAUCCACCUGCCUUGGCCUCCCAAAGUGCUGGGAUGACGGGCGUGAGCCACCGUGCCCGGCCCAUCUUUCCAGUUUCUUGGGACAAAAACCAAAGAUCUACUUUUCUCCUUUGCCAUAUGAGGACACAUUUAAAAGGCUGUGAACAAGGAUGCAGGCUCUUACCAGUUACCAAACUGCUGGUGCCUUGGUCUUACAUUUCCCAGCCCCCAGAGUGCAAGAAAAAAAAUUUUGGUUGUUUAUAAACGACUCAGUCUUGGUAUAUUUGUCAUAGCUGUCUGGGCAGACUAAAACAUGCACAUAAACAACCCUGUUUUCUGCCUUAACAAAUCAGGUAUUUAAAUAUAUGUUCCUGAUUCUUCCCAUAAUGUGUCAUUUGUAAUUUCAGUAAUAUAAUUUCAGACUGUUUAAAAAGCUUUUUGUUCAACCCAGUUUUACAACUGGAUUACUGAGUUGUCUAAAAUCCAAAACACUAUCAUUUAAGCCAGCAUUUUAGAUGCCUGAUCGUUUCAGUCAGGGUUCUCCAGAGAGACAGAACCAAUAGGGGAUACAGACAUGAGAGGGCAUUUAUUAAGGGAAUUGACUCAUGCAAUUAUGUAGCCUGAGAAAUCCCAUGACGGGCCAUCUGCAAGCUGGAGACCCUGAGAUUCUGGCAGCAUGGCUCAGUCAAAGUGUGACAGCCUCAGAACCAAGCUGAUGGCGUAACUCAGUCCAAAGACCCAAGGCCUGAGAACCUCAGGGCCACUGGUAUAAGUCCCAAAGACCAAAGGCCGGAGAGCCUGGAGUUGUGAUAUUGAAGAGCAAGAGAAGAGUGUUCCAGAGAGACAGAGAGAGAGA
This 1563-nucleotide long non-coding RNA is filed under the name Homo sapiens (human). RNAcentral's name for it is "HSALNT0333326". The record is from RNAcentral. Lineage: Eukaryota; Metazoa; Chordata; Mammalia; Primates; Hominidae.